This 329-nucleotide long non-coding RNA is filed under the name Lonchura striata (white-rumped munia). RNAcentral's name for it is "domestica (Bengalese finch) lncRNA (ENSLSDG00000008066.1)". The record is from RNAcentral. Lineage: Eukaryota; Metazoa; Chordata; Aves; Passeriformes; Estrildidae.
AGCCACAGUUCACAGGAAGAAUGUUAUCAGAACUAAAAUUGUUCCAUCUUGUCCUCAACUUCCAGGCCAGAGGUUUCUAGAUAAAUCAAGAAGUGCAGUUUGACUGGAGGAACUCGCUCCCUCUUGCCUUGGCCUCAGCGAAAUCUCAUAUGCAGUAUUGGUGAGGUUCUUGUCCAGAGCAUUCCUUGGCGGCCUUUACGCUGCACUCAAAUCGAAGUGGGGAAGCCUCAUGCCAAGCUUGCUGUGCUUUUUGUUAUGGUGAGUGUUAGAAAAACUAAUCUUAAAAACCACUCUAUUCUCUCCUUCAAAAGAACGUCAUGCUGUGGAUG